CUGAGUUAUGGUUCUGACAAGGCUCUGUCUACCUCAGUAUGCCUCUGCUCCUAGGAGUGCAGAAUGGGGACCUGUGAGCAGAAAUUUCAGGGAGGUUCAGCUCUCCAUGAUCUGAUUCUGCCUCCUUGGAAGUAGAGUUGGUCAGAGCAGGCAGAGAAGGAAGCUGGCAGAAGACGGAGAUCACAAGUGGACAGAGAAGCAGGCAGAGAGAG
Molecule: long non-coding RNA, 212 nt
Organism: Mustela erminea (ermine)
Lineage: Eukaryota; Metazoa; Chordata; Mammalia; Carnivora; Mustelidae
Exons: 3
Source: RefSeq, a predicted model, not a curated record